UACGGAGGGUGCAAGCGUUAUCCGGAUUUACUGGGUUUAAAGGGUGCGUAGGUGGGUCUGUAAGUCAGUGGUGAAAUCUUCGAGCUUAACUCGGAAACUGCCAUUGAUACUAUAGGUCUUGAAUCAUCUGGAGGUGAGCGGAAUAUGUCAUGUAGCGGUGAAAUGCUUAGAUAUGACAUAGAACACCGAUUGCGAAGGCAGCUCACUACGGAUGUAUUGACACUGGGGCACGAAAGCGUGGGGAUCAAACAGGAUUAGAUACCCGGGUAGU
This 271-nucleotide ribosomal RNA is filed under the name uncultured bacterium. RNAcentral's name for it is "partial 16S ribosomal RNA". It matches the Rfam family "Bacterial small subunit ribosomal RNA", at positions 524 to 794 of the family's 1533-position model. The record is from RNAcentral.